Ochotona princeps (American pika) is the source of this 608-nucleotide long non-coding RNA. RefSeq lists it as uncharacterized. The record is from RefSeq and is a predicted model, not a curated record. NCBI's taxonomy places the organism in Eukaryota, Metazoa, Chordata, Mammalia, Lagomorpha, Ochotonidae. The transcript has 3 exons.
CUUCUGAAAGCAGAAAGAAGGAAGAAAAUGCCCAUAGGCUUUAAUCACAUCAUUUCUGCUCAGUGGCUAGAAAUCAGCCAACCUUGCUGCAAGGCACACUAGAAAUGUCACCUCCCUGGGUGCUCAGAAAGAAGAGAACAUAAAUUAUGCUUCACAUUCUCCUCCGCCAGAAAAUACUCAGCACUAAAGGGAAGAGAUGAGGAGAAAACGUUGGCCAGAGCGCUUGUGAUUGCCAGAAAUCACCCACGGCUGACAGCAGACAUGCCCCUCUCCCAAGGAAUGGGAAUCCACCCUGGAGAAAAGAACACAAAGAACAGAGGCAAGAUGUGCUUCCAGACUUGCCAGCUCACUGCAAGGCUGAACUGUGAGUACUUUAAAAACAUCUUGUUAUUACUACGGCCCAUUUAGUCCACUCUAUAAAUACAACUCUUCUAUAUCACAUUUCAUGUUUCAAAACAGAGUCGUGGGGCUUCAGAAGGUGAGCUCCAUCUCAUGGGAUUCUUACAAAGUAAAGAAAUCAAAGCUUUCUCAAUGCAUCUGAAAUGUGAAGGCAUUUUAGAGUGUUAAGCUCUGUGAGAUCAGAGGUUGUCAGUCCCAUUCACUGUUGC